RNAcentral lists this ribosomal RNA (492 nucleotides) under uncultured bacterium. RNAcentral's name for it is "partial 16S ribosomal RNA". It matches the Rfam family "Bacterial small subunit ribosomal RNA", at positions 29 to 507 of the family's 1533-position model. The record is from RNAcentral.
AGUGAACGCUGGCGGUAGGCCUAACACAUGCAAGUCGAACGGCAGCACAGUAAGAGCUUGCUCUUACGGGUGGCGAGUGGCGGACGGGUGAGGAAUACAUCGGAAUCUACUUUUUCGUGGGGGAUAACGUAGGGAAACUUACGCUAAUACCGCAUACGACCUACGGGUGAAAGCAGGGGAUCUUCGGACCUUGCGCGAUUGAAUGAGCCGAUGUCGGAUUAGCUAGUUGGCGGGGUAAAGGCCCACCAAGGCGACGAUCCGUAGCUGGUCUGAGAGGAUGAUCAGCCACAAUGGAACUGAGACACGGUCGCGACUGAUACGGGAGGCAGCAGUGGGGGAUAUUGGACAAUAGGCGCAAGCCUGAUCCAGCCAUAACGCGUAAGUGAAGAAGGCCUUCGGGUUGUAAAGCCCUUUUGUUGGGAAAGAAAAGCAGCAGGUUAAUACCCCGCUGUUCUGACGGUACCCAAAAAAUAAGCACCGGCAAAACUCGAC